ACACAUGCAAGUCGAACGAAGGCUUCGGCCUUAGUGGCGCACGGGUGCGUAACGCGUGGGAAUCUGCCUUGGGGUUCGGAAUAACUCCCCGAAAGGGGUGCUAAUACCGGAUGAUGUCGAAAGACCAAAGAUUUAUCGCCCUGAGAUGAGCCCGCGUAAGAUUAGCUAGUUGGUGGGGUAAAGGCCUACCAAGGCGACGAUCUUUAGCUGGUCUGAGAGGAUGAUCAGCCACACUGGGACUGAGACACGGCCCAGACUCCUACGGGAGGCAGCAGUGGGGAAUAUUGGACAAUGGGCGAAAGCCUGAUCCAGCAAUGCCGCGUGAGUGAUGAAGGCCUUAGGGUUGUAAAGCUCUUUUACCCGGGAUGAUAAUGACAGUACCGGGAGAAUAAGCCCCGGCUAACUCCGUGCCAGCAGCCGCGGUAAUACGGAGGGGGCUAGCGUUAUUCGGAAUUACUGGGCGUAAAGCGCACGUAGGCGGCUUUGUAAGUCAGAGGUGAAAGCCUGGAGCUCAACUCCAGAACUGCCUUUGAGACUGCAUCGCUUGAAUCCAGGAGAGGUGAGUGGAAUUCCGAGUGUAGAGGUGAAAUUCGUAG
Molecule: ribosomal RNA, 596 nt
Filed under: Sphingomonas sp. GLT-Slr-57
Lineage: Bacteria; Pseudomonadati; Pseudomonadota; Alphaproteobacteria; Sphingomonadales; Sphingomonadaceae
Description: bacterial SSU rRNA
Rfam family: Bacterial small subunit ribosomal RNA
Source: RNAcentral